GACGAACGCUGGCGGCGUGCUUAACACAUGCGAGUCGAACGGUAAGGCCCUUCGGGGUACACGAGUGGCGAACGGGUGAGUAACACGUGGGUGAUCUGCCCUGCACUUCGGGAUAAGCCUGGGAAACUGGGUCUAAUACCGGAUAGGACUCCGGACUGCAUGGUCUGGGGUGGAAAGCUUUUGCGGUGUGGGAUGGGCCCGCGGCCUAUCAGCUUGUUGGUGGGGUGAUGGCCUACCAAGGCGACGACGGGUAGCCGGCCUGAGAGGGUGACCGGCCACACUGGGGCUGAGAUACGGCCCAGACUCCUACGGGAGGCAGCAGUGGGGAAUAUUGCACAAUGGGCGCAAGCCUGAUGCAGCGACGCCGCGUGAGGGAUGACGGCCUUCGGGUUGUAAACCUCUUUCAGCAUCGACGAAGCGAAAGUGACGGUAGGUGCAGAAGAAGGACCGGCCAACUACGUGCCAGCCGCCGCAGUAA
Molecule: ribosomal RNA, 478 nt
Filed under: uncultured bacterium
Lineage: Bacteria
Description: partial 16S ribosomal RNA
Rfam family: Bacterial small subunit ribosomal RNA
Source: RNAcentral